GAGUUUGAUCCUGGCUCAGGAUGAACGCUGGCGGCGUGCCUAAUACAUGCAAGUCGAGCGAACAGACGAGGAGCUUGCUCCUCUGACGUUAGCGGCGGACGGGUGAGUAACACGUGGAUAACCUACCUAUAAGACUGGGAUAACUUCGGGAAACCGGAGCUAAUACCGAAUAAUAUAUUGAACCGCAUGGUUCAAUAGUGAAAAACGGUUUUGCUGUCACUUAUAGAUGGAUCCGCGCCGCAUUAGCUAGUUGGUAGGGUAACGGCUUACCAAGGCGACGAUGCGUAGCCGACCUGAGAGGGUGAUCGGCCACACUGGAACUGAGACACGGUCCAGACUCCUACGGGAGGCAGCAGUAGGGAAUCUUCCGCAAUGGGCGAAAGCCUGACGGAGCAACGCCGCGUGAGUGAUGAAGGUCUUCGGAUCGUAAAACUCCGUUAUUAGGGAAGAACAAAUGUGUAAGUAACUAUGCACGUCUUGACGGUACCUAAUCAGAAAGCCACGGCUAACUACGUGCCAGCCGCCG
RNAcentral lists this ribosomal RNA (526 nucleotides) under uncultured microorganism. RNAcentral's name for it is "bacterial SSU rRNA". It matches the Rfam family "Bacterial small subunit ribosomal RNA", at positions 9 to 517 of the family's 1533-position model. The record is from RNAcentral.